This 1255-nucleotide ribosomal RNA is filed under the name Scleroderma aff. sinnamariense TH8281. RNAcentral describes it as "eukaryotic LSU rRNA". The stretch from base 612 to 1255 matches the Rfam family "Eukaryotic large subunit ribosomal RNA", at positions 1 to 605 of the family's 3401-position model. The record is from RNAcentral. Lineage: Eukaryota; Fungi; Basidiomycota; Agaricomycetes; Boletales; Sclerodermataceae.
CAUUAUCGAAGUCGAAGGCGUAGGAGGGGAAAAGGGGAGUCCGACUGUCGCCGGCCUACGCCGUGGGUGCGUGCACGUCGCUCUUUCGACCCCCUCCGAAGCUUCAACCUUCUCUACACCCGUGUGCACCCGCUGUAGGUCCUUCGGGACCUAUGUCUUCAUCUCUCGAACUCGUAUGUCUACAGAAUGUGUAAUCGUGGCUCGCUUCGGCGACCGCGAACCUUUGUACAACUUUCAGCAAUGGAUCUCUUGGCUCUCGCAUCGAUGAAGGACGCAGCGAAUCGCGAUAAGUAAUGUGAAUUGCAGAUUUUCCGUGAAUCAUCGAAUCUUUGAACGCACCUUGCGCUCCUCGGUAUUCCGAGGAGCAUGCCUGUUUGAGUGUCAUCGAAAUCUCGAACCGAGGCCUUCGAUCCGUUCGAAGCCCGGUCUCGGAAUGUGGGGGACUGCCGGCGGCGACGUCGGCUCCCCUCAAAGGCAUUAGCUGUGGGCGCGAGCCCCGCGUGGCACGGCCUCCUCGACGUCGUAAUGAUCGUCGUGGGCUGGAAGCGCGUGGAUCGACGUUCCCAUGCUUUGCGAACCUUCGUGGGGACGACCCGCGAGCCUCGAAGCUUUGACCUCAAAUCAGGUAGGACUACCCGCUGAACUUAAGCAUAUCAAUAAGCGGAGGAAAAGAAACUAACGAGGAUUCCCCUAGUAACUGCGAGUGAAGCGGGACGAGCUCAAAUUUCGAAUCUGGCGGUCGUGGGCCGUCCGAGUUGUAAUCUAGAGAAGCGUCUUCCGCGCUGGACCGUGUACAAGUCUCCUGGAAGGGAGCAUCGUAGAGGGUGACAAUCCCGUCUUCGACACGGACCCCCCAGGGCUAUGUGAUGCGCUCUCGACGAGUCGAGUUGUUUGGGAAUGCAGCUCAAAUCGGGUGGUAAACUCCAUCUAAAGCUAAAUACUGGCGAGAGACCGAUAGCGAACAAGUACCGUGAGGGAAAGACGAAAAGAACUUUGGAAAGAGAGUUAAACAGUACGUGAAAUUGCUGGAAGGGAAACGCUUGACGUCAGUCGCGUCGGCCGGGGAUCAACCCUGCUUCUUGCUGGGCGUACUUCCUGGUCGACGGGUCAGCAUCGAUUUCGGCCGUCGUAGAAGGACGGGAGCGAACGUGGCACUCUCCGGGAGUGUGUUUAUAGCCUUCCGUAUGGAUGCGAUGGCGGGGAUCGAGGAACUCGGCACGACCCCUCGAGGGUUCGGGGCUUCGGCCCACGCUCG